UCUGGAUAUUGAUUUUCUUCCAAUCCAUCGUCAAAACGAACUGAUUGAAACAGAUUGCUUACGGAAGGAAGCAAGAAAUUCCUGUCUAGGCACACAUAAUGCGGCAGGAUACUUCCGAAUGGAAUUUCAAGUGCUUGUUGUAGGGUGGCGGUGGUGUCUCGUAAUUUACACUUACCUUGUACGCUCGGGAUUUUCCUCGUGCAAUGCUGCUGCUGCUGCUGUUGCUGCUAGCUCGAGAUGGAAAUUUGAUACAUUUUCCACUAUGCUCAGCAUCUCAGCUAGUACGACGAUGCUACUGCUGCUGCACGACCGGUGAAAGCAACACCAUCGCCACCACCACCAGGCAGUGCUAGUAGCAGCAUAGUUCCACUGUACAUGGCGCGGCGAAACUAGGGCAAAAGGAAGCUGUUAUGCAAAUUGAAUUCCAACGUCUAGCCUCUCUUGGAAGCCAGGUUGCUUUAUGGUACAUUCCGGCUUCGCUUUCAUUCCGCUCACCCACUCCGGAGCCCGCCAGUACAAACACACGCGCCGAACAAUGCUAACAAGCGUAAGCCGUCUUCUCGAUCAUCGGUGAGGAUGAACAAAGGAGCUUCCCUUUUUUUUUAAAGCUCUGCUCCACAAUAGUCAAAGCCGAGGAGGAGCCGGUUUUUGAAAUGCAACCAGGUUAAAUUAAUAAGCAUA
Anopheles arabiensis is the source of this 681-nucleotide long non-coding RNA. RefSeq lists it as uncharacterized. The record is from RefSeq and is a predicted model, not a curated record. The transcript has 2 exons. Lineage: Eukaryota; Metazoa; Arthropoda; Insecta; Diptera; Culicidae.